Molecule: long non-coding RNA, 7014 nt
Organism: Pseudopipra pipra
Lineage: Eukaryota; Metazoa; Chordata; Aves; Passeriformes; Pipridae
Exons: 2
Source: RefSeq, a predicted model, not a curated record
GAAGAUGGUUCUGCUGCUGUAUGUGCAAGAGUUUGUGCUGAGAAGAGGCAGCUGGGACAAGGCUCUGCCCAGCUCCUUGUGCAGUGUCUGCAUGAUGAGGCAGUGAGUGUGCACAGAGGAUUUCGAAAACUUGUUCUUCAUCCAGCUCCAGGAAUGCUGAGAGUGAGUUCACACAAAAUACUGGAUGUCCUCAAGAAGAGAGAUCUUUCUAACUAAGACUGAAAGGAUGAAGCACUGGAUGUGCCUCAGAAGUCCUCCCUCCUCCAGCUCACUGUGCCACACAUGUGAUGCAGAUGGCAACCAACACUUUUAGUAUCACGACUUUCCAAAUGUUCUCCUCUGCUGCUGCAGGAAUGUUCCAGUGAUCUGCACAAACCUGGCUUCUGUUCCCUGCUGUGUCCUCCUUUCCCUGCCUUUGGUGGGCAUGAGGAGCUGCCUGAUUUCAGUUACUUUGUAGUUUUCAAGCAGGUCUCCCAGAGAAUCACACACAUGUCCUGUUUGCUGUAUUUGUCUCCCAGAGAAUCACACACAUGUCCUGUUUGCUGUAUUUGUCUCCCAGAGAAUCACACACAUGUCCUGUUUGCUAUUUUUUUGGGGGGUGAUACAACUAAAGAAGGGGAGGACGAGAAUAUCUAAUUACUAUUUUUCUUACUGCUCAAGAUAACCUGUUUAUCUUUCAGUCACCUCCUCAAAGGUGACUACAAGUAAGAAUCUGAAGUGUGGCUACUUUACUGGAGCAGCUGAGGUUACCAAAGCCUGUCUGGUGUCUCUCUAGGCUACUGUUCCAUGGCAGUUCUUUUACAGGAAAAAUAAAACAUUUGCUAAAAAUUUAAAUGUAGGAUGAAGUUACUUAAGUAAAUUUGCUGAGAUAAGGCUGGAGUGUUUUAGUGACGAGUUUGGAAGGAGAAUUAAAGAGGAGGGUAAGACACAGACAUCUGAGCAGGCAAACUGUGCCUUCUCUGAGCUCAGGAAUGCCAAGACUUUCUUUUAGCAUAUGGGAAGUUUUAUAAGGACACAGACUGAGGCAGAAAGCAGUGCAAUUCAAAGAUCAUCCAUCUCUUCUAGUGAUAGUAAUUUCUUACCUUUUACGUCUCUGUGAAUCUAAAAGCACUUAGAAAGAAAUUGGUAUAAAUUUUCCCCAUUAGCCCGUCGUCACCUAAUAGCUGACUUAGAGCUUGAACUGGAGGGCUGGGCUGGCAGUCUGGGGAAACACUGGUGCCAGGGGCUUUGCCAGGCUGGGGAGAGGCAACUCCUGACUGGGAUGUGGGUUUGGCACUGAGCUGGUGUUGCUGGAACCUCAGCCUGUUCCCCGGAUCACAGACCAUUGGAGAGCUGGUGUGUUUACAGCAGGUGCCAGUCCUGCUCUUCUCACUCCGUGCAGUGACAGGGAACACAAGGCAGCACAUCAGCUCUGCAGUUUUUCACCAGUUUCCUUAUUUAUUUUGGACUGGCCAAAAAGUGAGGAAGACAGGUUUUGUACAACAAGCCUUUUGCUUUCUUGCAGCUGUACUGAGUGCCUUGGGAAAGCCAGGCAGCCUGGAAAUGAUUGUCUCGGUAGGGUUAUUGCUUUGCAAGAGUGUGGAGUAGAAAAAUCUAGGGUGGCUUUAUUUUAUUAAUUUUUUUUAGCCUCCUAAAUCCGUUGUUAUAAGUUGAAUUUCUCUUAUAGGUCCUAAAUUUACUCAGGAGAUCUGUAAGGGAACCCUUGUAGCUCCUCCUGUGUGUCUGAAGCGUGGGCUGGUUGUUUUUGAAGCAAUAGAAUGUGACAGUCAGAAGCCAGUUAAAAACAAGGGAUUUCAAUACCUGAGCUCAUGUUCCAAGGACUGCAGGCUGAUUAGCUCCUCUUGUCUCCUGGAUCCAAUUACUCACCUGUAAGUAAAGCAUUUCUGAGUCCCCCAAACAGGUUCUGAUAUUAUCAGCGGAUUUAGGCAACUCCAAAUCCUCCCAGUAAUCUGAAGAAGUGGGUUUUCUGUCUUCACCCAAGAGGCAGAUAAAACCUCACCCUCGGUAUGUGCAGUAACACAAAUGUGUGUCACAUCUGCUUUCCUUUUAUAUCUUCUUAUUCCAGUUGACAACAAGAGUCAGAUGUACCAGAUAUGCUUAAUCUGGAAAAGAGUGUCAGCACUAUCAAUUUUUUCUCUGCUUUCAUAUUUCUUGCCCUUUUAAUACUCAAAGCUGCUGAUCUCACUUCUCCUGGCCAUCCUUCUUUUUCCUAUUUCUGUUUCUUUGACUUUAGGCAACUCACUGUGUAUAAACUUGGUUCUUCCAGGAGGAAAAGAAACUACAAUAAUAAAUGAAGUCUGGUAGAUUUUGUGAAGGUGGAAAUAAUGUUUCAGAGGACACGGUGUUUGUGACUGUAGGUACUUCGUGGUAGGUCUGUGUUUAUUUUAGAAGUGUCUUGGUUACUGCUUGCUUUGCUGUUACUUCUUCCAUACUUAAAAAAAAUAACACUAAAAAUGCAGUAAACAGAAGGGUGGCAUUUCAUGGCUUUAAAAAGGAAUUGGAAGAGAAACCACUUUUCCAUACUGAAAACAUUGCAAAAUAACCAUAACAAUAAUAAAAUAUUUGUUCAUCCAAAACAACAGUUGAGAUCAAAAUACCACAAUACUGUGGGGAGGAAAAACUUGGAAUUUGGAAGGUUGCACUGAAUUUUUCCUUUUCUUCUACACCUUAGUUUCCAGGUGGUUGGUUUGUUGCAGGCUGGUAAAACAUCACCUCUGUUCCUGGAAUUUAUUCCUCUUUGUGCUUGUUUCAGUUAAAUCUCCCACGGGAGUGGACACUCCUGCCACAUGUCUACAAGACUGAUCUUGUAGCAGCUUUGUGAAAGGGUGCAGGAACCUUGGGCAAGGUUGGGAAAUGGGAAUUGCAGUAAUGGAGAUGGUUGGUGGCCUGACCAGAGUUUAACCUCCCUGGUCUGUCUCCAUGGUGAUGUUCUGGGAUGUGGCUCAGGAAGCAUUGCAAGGGGUUGCUUUCUGGAGGGUCAAAUUGGAGGUGAUGCCCAAACCACGAACCUGGGAGAGGGUGGGGCAGGGACAUGGGGGGGAGUUUCAGUGAAAAUGGGUUUUCCAGGUUGGGUUUAUGCUUGGCAAUAUUGUAAGGCAAUUACAAGGAGGGCAAGGCCAAGUCCCUGCUGUAGGAGGCCCCUGGUCAGGAGAUCUCAGUAUAAUACCUGGAAGGAAUUGACCCUCGUAUCUCUGGAAAGGAGGAAUUGAAAUCAGGAUGGAAGGAGACACAUUGAGAGCUGAGCUAUUUGUUUCUGAAGGGAGGGGAGAAGAUGAACUUUAGAGGAGAGCAUUCUGUUGCACUGAAAGCAGAACUCCCUAUUUACUUCAGGAGAAAGAACCAGAGAAGUUUUAACAGUGGUGUUUUGUUGAAAAACUAAUUUCUCAUGUUAACUACACAUCUGCAGAACAACCCUUUCUAUAUGACACUUAGAGAUGGCAUGGGCUCCUGAGAUCCCUGGUUUGAAUCAUUACCCCUCUGGAACUCACCCUGGGCCUGAUAUUCCUGACAAGGAUAAACCCAGCUGGUUCAGAGUAGCAGAAACCAACAUUUAUUGCAGUCAGCUAUUGAGUGAUGAUAGUCCUUCCAGUGUUGCUCUCGUUGCCAAAUUUGCUUUCCAAACCCCCUGAGGACAUUGCUGAAUGUGAUUUUUCACACUCCUGCUUUUUGCCACCAUCUCUCACUUACCUUUACUUUCCAAGUGUCAAACUGUUUUCUUUAUCAUUUAGCAAGAACAUUUUGAAUGAAUUCAUAUGGUAAAAGAAAUCUGGCAGGCUCUUCCCAUCUGUUCUGGAGAAAGCUGCAUUCCAGAGGUCGUGGGAUGGGUAUGUGAAAGGGAGAGUAUUUGGUGCAUGUGACAUGCUAUUUUUUUAAAACAGCUUAAGAAAAGUACAUGAAGAAGAAUGCAGAAUUUCAGCUCAUGAGAACUGGCAAUUGAAAUAGCUCUGGGAUCUGUGGGUCAAGAGGAGAACUUGGUGAACUUCUGCAUAGAGGAGAUACUUUCCUAGUGCCACAAGAUGCUUUUCACGUGUCCUGUGCACAGUGCAAGAGAACCAAACGUGUGCAGGGACACUGAGGGGAGAAAUCAGAGAACUGAUUUAGGCAGUGAAAAGCCAAAGCAAAACCAUUGGUUUGAGGGUACAGCAGGGCAGCCUGGUCUGGGCCCAUCUGAGAGCUCCUACACAGGGCUCUUACCUGUUCUAAUCUUCUUCUAAGCAUGAUUGGUCUUACUGAAAACAAGAGGCAUCUACCAAAAAUACUACAAACUUGAGGAAAACUCUUUUUACGGUAAUACUGAGAAAUAUCUCUUUUUAAAAGGAAUUUAUUUCUUGAAGCAAGAUGCUUCAAUGAAACAAAGAAAUGUACAUAUAUGAAAUUAGGUUUGCCUAUGAAGUUGUUGAAUUUAGGCUUUGCAUUAGUUUGAACAUAAAAACAUUCAUAAAGUUCCCUUAGUUUGAGUUUGCUGCUGUUUUCCCCUCCCAUUAUCACCUGGAUUUUUGUUUUCCUUACUGACAGUGUCUCAUUCAUUUGUUCUUGUUCAUGAUCUGUGAGUGCAUUUGGAUUUUACUGUGCAUGCAGAAUUCCAGCUUAUUGCCUUUGAAACACAUCCUGGCUGGAGCCAUUGCAAGUGUAAACAAGGUGCUGAAAGCUGGAGUGCAGAUGGAAUGUGAGGAGUCUGUGAGCCCAGGGACACAAGUCCACUCUGAGAGAGAAGGGAACGGGAUUCCAUUGGUUAUUAUUAGAUAAUUAUUACAUAUAAUUAUAUAGUUAUAAAAUAUGUAAUAUAUUUUAUAUUUAAUUAUGUUAUAUAAUUGUUAUUAUUUAAUCCCAGGCUCCCUUCCAUCUGCAGAGGAGCUGCAGGGGACAGAACAGGCAGGAUGACUUCCAGGACCUGGACACAGGACUCGAAGGAAUGCUGAGUUUGCUGGUAACACCAAAUUGGGAGGAGCUGUUGAUUCCCUGGAGGGCAGAGAGGCCCUGCAGAGAGACCUCAACAAACCAGAGAGAUGAGCCAUCACCAAGUGUUCUCCAGGAGCUCCUGCACGUGCAGCUGAUGUCACCUGACAGCCAAAGCAAACCCUGCACUGGGUGUUUGUUACCCCGAGGGGAGCGAUGGGGUUCAAACACAAACUGGAGGGGUCAGCUGGUUGUGUUGUUGAGCUCAUCAGACAGCCACCCCCAUCACCUUCUGUUCAGAGAAGCUUCCCUGUGGCUGGUUGGUAAAUCAUGUGCAAACCUCUAGUGCCUGGUGGGAGGUGUCUGAGUGUCAGACCUGAACACAACUUGCUCCACUUGGCUGUGCUCCUCUAGAAAGUAUUUACAGAAGUUCGCUCAAAAUAAAUUACAUUCUGAUCACUUCAAGUUAUUGUAAUUGAGAAGAUGGUCAGAGAAGGGCAGGUAGGAAAUUACCAGGAGCUUGGAGGAUUUGAUUAAUAAGGAAAAUCACUAGAAGGUGCAGAGAGUGAUGGAGGGAGAGAUGGAAUAUAAUCCACUAUAAAUAUUUGAAGAACAAUACUCAAGACAGAAGCAAAGUGAAACAGAGAGGUAUGAAAUAAAUGCAAGGAGGAGGCAGGUUCCUGACAGUGAGAUGUUUCAGGUUGUGUGUGCAGCACCUCAGAGGGACACGUGGCCAGUGGCACAUCUUAAAACUGAACCAAGGGGACAAGGAGUGACAACUCCAGCAGGCAACCCUUUGUGGGGAGGCAAGAGAUGAGGAGUGACUUAGCCAUUCCUGGCAGGAUGCAGCACUGAUAACAUGGCUUUGCUGUUUUGAAGUUGAGGCAUCAGGUGGGUGUGCAAAUGGGAACAGGAGAGUUGAGCAGUUUAGAAUCUGUGGAAGGGAACAGCUGGAAACUGCCAAUCCUGAGAUUUCGGGAAAAGUACAGCUUCUGAUUUCAUCUUGAAUUAAAAAAAUGUGCUUUUGUGACAUAAAAUGGAUUUGGAAUUGUGUGUUAGCUGUGAGUGUGUGUUAGAACUGUCCCAGUUGCUCACAGUGCUGUGUGAGAAGUCCCCAGACCACAUUGUAGGAGGAACCCUGUGCUCGUGGGUCUCAGGGUAGGACUGACAACCACUUGCUGACUGCUCAGCACACUUAAUGGAAAACACCUUUCUAAAGCCACUCAAACCACCUCAACCUGCAAACCAGGAGGACUGCAACAGUUACCUGGCAGUGUGUAACUUAUCCUCAGGCUUCUCCACUCCUGGGUGGGGAAGGUCUCCAGCCAGCCAGGCUCCUGGAGAGCCACAGCUCUGCCCUUCCCUCCUUCAGCCACUUCCUCUGAGUUAAUUCCGUGCAGUCAGGCAACACAAAACGAAAUGGAGAAACUCAUGUCUGUCUGUGUGGUCUGUCUUUAUGUUAUAAUGAUUCUCAGUUGUCCAAAAUCCUCGGCAGGAGCACAUCCCAGUAGAUCUAUAGAACUGUCACCAGGAUUUAGUAUAAAUUCAAUAUUGUCAGCAACAAAGAAUCACAGUGCUCUCAUUAUAUUUGACUUCUAGUGGAGCCAUUACUGGAGUCAUGUCUUUUAUUUAUAUUAACAUGUUGUUAACUGUAAGCUAAUAAAGAUGCAAAAUGCCUGAAAUCAAUUAGGUACAGAUUUAAGGAGUGUACAUAAAGGAAAUUUUCUGAUUUACCUUCCCAUUUGUUGAAUACAGACCUUGCAUUACUUUGAACAUGAAAGCAAUCAAUUGACUCUGUUUAAUUCCAUUAAUUAAUUUCUGCAAUCGUUUUCCUUGCCUCUUUACUUCAGUUUAAAAACACCUGGAUCCCAGUUAGAAAAUUCCCUGAAGUCGUAACAAUUUCAAAUUAGGAGGUUUAUUUAAAAAUAUCAUUCGGGCUCUAAGAGCUUAUUAGUUAAAAACUGUUCCAAGAUAAUCUUCAACUUCACAGAAGGAAUUAAUGUUUUUAAAAGUACUUUUGCUUCUGUUUUUCAUUAAUUUUUGUUUGCUUUUUUAUGAAUCUGUAACUUGAGAAGUAUGGAAAGCUUCUUUCUCAAUAAAGAGAACUUUUCAAACAUU